GUGAGGAAUAUUGCGCAAUGGAGGCAACUCUGACGCAGCCAUGCCGCGUGCAGGAAGAAGGCGCUACGCGUUGUAAACUGCUUUUAACCGGGAAGAAACCCCAGGACGUGUCCUGGGUUGACGGUACCGGAGGAAUAAGCACCGGCUAACUUCGUGCCAGCAGCCGCGGUAAUACGAAGGGUGCAAGCGUUAUCCGGAUUCAUUGGGUUUAAAGGGUGCGUAGGCGGAGCGUUAAGUCAGUGGUGAAAUCCUGCAGCUUAACUGUAGACUUGCCAUUGAUACUGGCGCUCUGGAGUGCGCUUGAAGUGGGCGGAAUGUGCCGUGUAGCGGUGAAAUGCUUAGAUAUGGCACAGAACACCAAUUGCGAAGGCAGCUCACUAAGGCGAUACUGACGCUGAGGCACGAAAGCGUGGGGAUCGAACAGGAUUAGAUACCCGGGUAGUCC
Molecule: ribosomal RNA, 445 nt
Filed under: uncultured bacterium
Lineage: Bacteria
Description: partial 16S ribosomal RNA
Rfam family: Bacterial small subunit ribosomal RNA
Source: RNAcentral